RNAcentral lists this ribosomal RNA (428 nucleotides) under uncultured bacterium. RNAcentral describes it as "partial 16S ribosomal RNA". It matches the Rfam family "Bacterial small subunit ribosomal RNA", at positions 354 to 796 of the family's 1533-position model. The record is from RNAcentral.
GUGGGGAAUAUUGGUCAAUGGGGGAAACCCUGAACCAGCAACGCCGCGUGAAGGAAGAAGGCUUUCGGGUUGUAAACUUCUUUGACAGGGGACGAAACAAAUGACGGUACCCUGAAAACAAGCCACGGCUAACUACGUGCCAGCAGCCGCGGUAAUACGUAGGUGGCAAGCGUUGUCCGGAUUUACUGGGUGUAAAGGGCGUGUAGGCGGGACGGUAAGUCAGAUGUGAAAUGUAGGGGCUCAACCCCUGAACUGCAUUUGAAACUAUCGUUCUUGAGUGAUGGGGAGGCAGGCGGCAUUCCGUGUGUAGCGGUGAAAUGCGUAGAUAUACGGAGGAACACCAGUGGCGAAGGCGGGUUCCUGGCCCAUGACUGACGCUGAGGUGCGAAAGCCGGGGGAGCGAACGGGAUUAGAUACCCCAGUAGUCC